GACGGGUUAGUAACGCGUGGGAACGUGCCCUUCUCUAAGGAAUAGCCACUGGAAACGGUGAGUAAUACCUUAUACGCCCUUCGGGGGAAAGAUUUAUCGGAGAAGGAUCGGCCCGCGUUAGAUUAGAUAGUUGGUGGGGUAACGGCCUACCAAGUCUACGAUCUAUAGCUGGUUUUAGAGGAUGAUCAGCAACACUGGGACUGAGACACGGCCCAGACUCCUACGGGAGGCAGCAGUGGGGAAUCUUGGACAAUGGGGGCAACCCUGAUCCAGCCAUGCCGCGUGAGUGAUGAAGGCCUUAGGGUCGUAAAGCUCUUUCGCCUGUGAUGAUAAUGACAGUAGCAGGUAAAGAAACCCCGGCUAACUCCGUGCCAGCAGCCGCGGUAAUACGGAGGGGGUUAGCGUUGUUCGGAAUUACUGGGCGUAAAGCGCGCGUAGGCGGACCAGAAAGUUGGGGGUGAAAUCCCGGGGCUCAACCCCGGAACUGCCUCCAAAACUCCUGGUCUUGAGUUCGAGAGAGGUGAGUGGAAUUCCGAGUGUAGAGGUGAAAUUCGUAGAUAUUCGGAGGAACACCAGUGGCGAAGGCGGCUCACUGGCUCGAUACUGACGCUGAGGUGC
RNAcentral lists this ribosomal RNA (618 nucleotides) under Phaeobacter sp. M154. RNAcentral describes it as "bacterial SSU rRNA". It matches the Rfam family "Bacterial small subunit ribosomal RNA", at positions 100 to 754 of the family's 1533-position model. Lineage: Bacteria; Pseudomonadati; Pseudomonadota; Alphaproteobacteria; Rhodobacterales; Roseobacteraceae. The record is from RNAcentral.